UCCUCACUUCUUCUUUGAUCAGAUCAAGAUGGCCAGCAGCAGUAGCAACUCCAAGCCCAGAUGACUGCCCUUAGAAGCUAAUCCAGAAGUCAUGAACAUGUAUGUCGAUGGACUUGGUGUAGGAAACUCUUUUCAAUUUUGUGACGUCUUUGGAUUAGAUCCUGACCUAUUGAUGAUACCCCAGCCUUGUGCUGCCCCCUCGUUAUGUUCCCAGUCACAGACAAGUACGAAGCUUUUCGAAAAGAGGAAGAAGAGAAGAUUGAGAAAGAAG
This is a long non-coding RNA of Amphimedon queenslandica, 271 nucleotides long. RefSeq lists it as uncharacterized. The record is from RefSeq and is a predicted model, not a curated record. The transcript has 4 exons. NCBI's taxonomy places the organism in Eukaryota, Metazoa, Porifera, Demospongiae, Haplosclerida, Niphatidae.